GGCAAGAUGGCGGAGUGGUUAACGCUGCACCUACUACUAGUAGUAGUUCCCUACGGGAUAUCCGUAGUUAUGCAACCUCUUUCGAGGGCCAGAGUUCGAAUCUCAGUCUUGUUG
Aspergillus pseudonomiae is the source of this 114-nucleotide non-coding RNA. The record is from the annotation of a RefSeq genome assembly. Lineage: Eukaryota; Fungi; Ascomycota; Eurotiomycetes; Eurotiales; Aspergillaceae.